RNAcentral lists this unclassified non-coding RNA (337 nucleotides) under soil metagenome. Its description in RNAcentral is "partial contains 5.8S ribosomal RNA, internal transcribed spacer 2, and large subunit ribosomal RNA". The stretch from base 1 to 120 matches the Rfam family "5.8S ribosomal RNA", at positions 35 to 154 of the family's 154-position model. The record is from RNAcentral.
GAUGAAGAACGCAGCGAAAUGCGAUAAGUAGUGUGAAUUGCAGAAUUCAGUGAAUCAUCGAAUCUUUGAACGCACAUUGCGCCCUUUGGUAUUCCUUAGGGCAUGCCUGUUCGAGCGUCAUCUAAACCUUCAAGCCCUGCUUGGUGUUGGGUGCCUGUCCCGCCUCCGCGCGUGGACUCACCUCAAAUCCAUUGGCGGCCCCCGCGUCGGCCACGAGCGCAACAGAAACGCGAACUCGUGAGCCCGUCCGGGCGGCUCCCAGAAGCUAACCCCCAAUUUUUGACCUCGGAUCAGGUAGGGAUACCCGCUGAACUUAAGCAUAUCAAUAAGCGGAGGA